RNAcentral lists this ribosomal RNA (1538 nucleotides) under Escherichia coli. RNAcentral's name for it is "bacterial SSU rRNA". It matches the Rfam family "Bacterial small subunit ribosomal RNA". The record is from RNAcentral. Lineage: Bacteria; Pseudomonadati; Pseudomonadota; Gammaproteobacteria; Enterobacterales; Enterobacteriaceae.
UUGAAGAGUUUGAUCAUGGCUCAGAUUGAACGCUGGCGGCAGGCCUAACACAUGCAAGUCGAACGGUAACAGGAAACAGCUUGCUGUUUCGCUGACGAGUGGCGGACGGGUGAGUAAUGUCUGGGAAACUGCCUGAUGGAGGGGGAUAACUACUGGAAACGGUAGCUAAUACCGCAUAAUGUCGCAAGACCAAAGAGGGGGACCUUCGGGCCUCUUGCCAUCGGAUGUGCCCAGAUGGGAUUAGCUUGUUGGUGGGGUAACGGCUCACCAAGGCGACGAUCCCUAGCUGGUCUGAGAGGAUGACCAGCCACACUGGAACUGAGACACGGUCCAGACUCCUACGGGAGGCAGCAGUGGGGAAUAUUGCACAAUGGGCGCAAGCCUGAUGCAGCCAUGCCGCGUGUAUGAAGAAGGCCUUCGGGUUGUAAAGUACUUUCAGCGGGGAGGAAGGGAGUAAAGUUAAUACCUUUGCUCAUUGACGUUACCCGCAGAAGAAGCACCGGCUAACUCCGUGCCAGCAGCCGCGGUAAUACGGAGGGUGCAAGCGUUAAUCGGAAUUACUGGGCGUAAAGCGCACGCAGGCGGUUUGUUAAGUCAGAUGUGAAAUCCCCGGGCUCAACCUGGGAACUGCAUCUGAUACUGGCAAGCUUGAGUCUCGUAGAGGGGGGUAGAAUUCCAGGUGUAGCGGUGAAAUGCGUAGAGAUCUGGAGGAAUACCGGUGGCGAAGGCGGCCCCCUGGACGAAGACUGACGCUCAGGUGCGAAAGCGUGGGGAGCAAACAGGAUUAGAUACCCUGGUAGUCCACGCCGUAAACGAUGUCGACUUGGAGGUUGUGCCCUUGAGGCGUGGCUUCCGGAGCUAACGCGUUAAGUCGACCGCCUGGGGAGUACGGCCGCAAGGUUAAAACUCAAAUGAAUUGACGGGGGCCCGCACAAGCGGUGGAGCAUGUGGUUUAAUUCGAUGCAACGCGAAGAACCUUACCUGGUCUUGACAUCCACGGAAGUUUUCAGAGAUGAGAAUGUGCCUUCGGGAACCGUGAGACAGGUGCUGCAUGGCUGUCGUCAGCUCGUGUUGUGAAAUGUUGGGUUAAGUCCCGCAACGAGCGCAACCCUUAUCCUUUGUUGCCAGCGGUCCGGCCGGGAACUCAAAGGAGACUGCCAGUGAUAAACUGGAGGAAGGUGGGGAUGACGUCAAGUCAUCAUGGCCCUUACGACCAGGGCUACACACGUGCUACAAUGGCGCAUACAAAGAGAAGCGACCUCGCGAGAGCAAGCGGACCUCAUAAAGUGCGUCGUAGUCCGGAUUGGAGUCUGCAACUCGACUCCAUGAAGUCGGAAUCGCUAGUAAUCGUGGAUCAGAAUGCCACGGUGAAUACGUUCCCGGGCCUUGUACACACCGCCCGUCACACCAUGGGAGUGGGUUGCAAAAGAAGUAGGUAGCUUAACCUUCGGGAGGGCGCUUACCACUUUGUGAUUCAUGACUGGGGUGAAGUCGUAACAAGGUAACCGUAGGGGAACCUGCGGUUGGAUCACCUCCUU